CAUAAGUAUAGGCGUUCUUCAUCCAAUUCUGUUUCAAGCAUUUCUGGUUUUUCUACUUUUCCUGGUGCUGAUAAUUCUUCUCCAAUGUCUGUUGCUCAAGGAUACCGCUCUUUUACUGAACCACAUCCACAAGAUGAUGAACAUCAGCAGGCAUCAUCAAAACAGCAUAUGCAAAGUCUUCC
Molecule: non-coding RNA, 182 nt
Organism: Lactuca sativa (garden lettuce)
Lineage: Eukaryota; Viridiplantae; Streptophyta; Magnoliopsida; Asterales; Asteraceae
Source: RefSeq, a predicted model, not a curated record